RNAcentral lists this long non-coding RNA (1408 nucleotides) under Olea europaea subsp. europaea. Lineage: Eukaryota; Viridiplantae; Streptophyta; Magnoliopsida; Lamiales; Oleaceae. The record is from RNAcentral.
GGGCUCGAUCAUAGAAGGCACUUCAUGGUUUCUUUCUUUUAUUUUCUCUUAGCAAACUUACAAUAAUUUAUAUGCCUCUGUCAGGAGUUAUGCAGAUUAUGAGAGAGACUUUGAAGUAAAAUGUCAGAUGCCUUCAAAACGGUAAGCUAAUUGAGUCCUUUGUGUCGAACUCUAGGCUUUCCCUUUUAUAAUGGUUCCAAUUGAGGGUUUUCUCCUCCUAUUCUAAAGCCUUUUUUCUUUUUGUACUUAAUGAUAAUAAUUUUCUAAGUUUUAGUUUACUUUAAAAUGUAAUUCUGAAUCUAACAAGGGACACACGUGUACGUUGGUAGUUAAAUUUUCUCUCUUUGUUUCGAAACCUAGCCUCCGUUUGACCCUCAUUAAUUUUCAUUCCAUGACAUUUCAUUUUUCUCUCUCCUAUUUUCAACCACACAAUCUUCCAUAAAAUAAUAUUACAUGUAAAUCGAAAAAUUUUCCUUCUUUUUCAACCACUCAUAUUUCAAAAAAAUAUUAUUCCACCCAUUAAUUUUUCCACAAAGUGGGGCCAAACGGGGACUUAAAGCAGUAUAAUACACAAUAUUGGGUCGAAGUUUGAUGUUAACAAAGAGAAAAGUGUCCAAGAUGAAGUCUGGGUUUUGAAUUAUUUAUAUACCAUUUACUAUUAAAAAUUAAUAAAUCUAUAUGAAUUAAGUAGAUGUACAAAUUUUAUUGAUAAAAGUUGAUCAUGGUUAGGAUGUAAUUAACAAAGGUCUUGAAUUUAUGCAUUAAACUUUUAUAAUCUACUAAAAUGAAAUUGUCCUGCACCAUCAUUCAAUUUACUAAUUUUGAAUUUUAUUCAUCGCUAUAUUUUAUUUUCGAGUAUAAAGAAAAUUUUGUAAGAUUGUAGGUCGAGCAGGGCCCAACACAGUAUAGACCCUCCUAAGCUAGGUUUUGGGUAGAAAGUUAUUCAGGUUUUACAAAAGUGGUAAUGUGAUUUAUCAAAUUCCUAUACGAUCUAGAAUUCAAGUUAUCACAUUUGUCUUAAUUUAUGGAACUAUUUUUGAAUUGUAAAUUGUCUGUGCAUGAAUAUACAUUUCUGAAAUUUAAGUAGUUAUAUAUGUUUUGAUGCAUUGGCUAAUAAAAUCAAUUGUUUAAACUUCCCAUUAUAGAUUUUGGAGGAAAGCUAAUAUGAUGCAGAAGGAAUUAGACUUUAUGGCAAAGUGAGAUCGGUGCAAGCAAAAAAGGCAACUUCUCGAUUUCGAGUAAAUUCCUUUGUUUAGGCUUUUGUUUAUACCUUUUUUUUUCUAUUUUGAUAAUUUCUGUUUUGGUUAUAUUUCAAUCAAAUAAAUUCAUAAUUGAAUUCCAUUUGUUGAAGGACGAUCCUAAAGAUUAGGACUUUCAAUUUUAGUCAUUAUCUCGAUUUUUUUUUUCA